Molecule: unclassified non-coding RNA, 1701 nt
Filed under: Hevea brasiliensis (rubber tree)
Lineage: Eukaryota; Viridiplantae; Streptophyta; Magnoliopsida; Malpighiales; Euphorbiaceae
Source: RNAcentral
UUCAAACUUUGAACUCUACCCAGUAGCCACCUUCAAUCUAAAAGCUCAAAGAAAAUGGUGUCGGAAACAAUGGAGUCGAUAAUCCUUCAGCUUCACGACAUCGCCGCCGUUAAAUUCGGCGAAUUCAAGCUCAAAUCCGGUAUCUUUUCCCCAAUCUACAUUGACCUCCGGUUAAUCGUUUCAUACCCUUCGAUUCUCCGUCAGAUUUCACAAAUUCUGGUUGGUUCACUGCCGGAAUCUACCAAAUACGAUGUUGUUUGCGGUGUACCGUACACGGCGUUGCCUAUUGCGACGUGUAUCUCAACUGCACAUGACUUGCCGAUGGUAAUGCGGAGGAAAGAGGUUAAGGAUUAUGGAACUGCUAAGGCUAUUGAAGGUGCUUUUGAACCGGGUCAAGCUUGUCUUAUUGUUGAGGAUUUGGUUACUAGUGGUGCUUCGGUACUUGAGACUGCUGCUCCUCUUCGUGCUGUUGGAUUGAAGGUUACUGAUGCUGUUGUCAUGAUUGACAGAGAGCAAGGAGGAAGGGAAAAUUUGGCUGAUAAUGGAAUCACAUUGCAUUCAAUGGUGAAACUUACUGAGAUGGUGAGGAUACUAAAGGAAAAGGGUAGGGUUUCAGAGGAAACAGAAAAAAUGGUGAAGAAAUUCUUGGAGGAGAAUCGCAAGGUUGCGGUUCCUGCACCAGUGAAGGAAACAAAGGUCAAGACCAGAUUACCAUAUGACGAGCGGGCAAAGACUGCAAAGAACCCUACUGGGAAGAAGUUGUUUGAAAUCAUGGUGCAGAAGAACACUAAUUUGUGUUUGGCUGCCGAUGUGGCCACAGCUGCUGAACUACUGGAUAUUGCUGACAAGGUUGGACCUGAAAUCUGCAUGUUAAAAACACAUGUUGAUAUAUUGCCUGAUUUUACUCCUGACUUUGGUUCUAAGCUUAGAUCGAUUGCAGACAAGCACAACUUCUUAAUAUUUGAAGAUCGUAAAUUUGCUGACAUUGGAAAUACAGUGACAAUGCAAGCUGAAGGAGGUAUCUUCCGCAUUUUAGAUUGGGCUGAUGUAAUUAAUGCACACAUUAUUUCUGGUCCAGGAAUUGUUGAUGGUCUGAAACUGAAGGGAUUGCCGCGUGGAAGGGGCCUGCUGCUUCUUGCUGAAAUGAGUUCUGCGGGUAACCUAGCCACAGGGGAUUACACAGCAGCAGCAGUAAAAAUUGCCGAGGAUCACUCGGAUUUUGUCAUUGGGUUCAUCUCUGUGAAUCCUGCUUCAUGGCCCAAUGGACCUGGAAACCCAUCCUUCAUCCACGCUACACCUGGUGUUCAAUUGGUAAAAGGAGGAGAUGCCCUAGGCCAACAAUAUAACACUCCAAAUUCAGUAAUUGGUGAUAGAGGCAGUGACAUUAUUAUUGUUGGCCGUGGAAUUAUAAAGGCUGCUAACCCUGCAGAAGCAGCUCGUGAAUACCGGCUUCAAGGUUGGGAUGCAUAUUUGGUUAACACCAAGUAAGAGUCAGUUGUAGUAGUAGGGAGGACGACGGGGGGCUUUCGAGCCAGGAGUUCCUUCCAGUUUUUUGUUUUUCCUUUUGAUCACGCCUUUUUCGCCCUUCCACAGCCAGUUGGGGCUCGAAAUUGAGUGUUGAUUCUAGAUGUGUGCUUUCUAGACUACCAUUUUCCAUCUCUGAUGAUUUGAAUAACUAGAUGCAUUGAAAUACAAUGAGUU